This 496-nucleotide ribosomal RNA is filed under the name uncultured bacterium. Its description in RNAcentral is "partial 16S ribosomal RNA". It matches the Rfam family "Bacterial small subunit ribosomal RNA", at positions 28 to 506 of the family's 1533-position model. The record is from RNAcentral.
GAUGAACGCUGGCGGCGUGCCUAAUACAUGCAAGUCGAGCGAACAGACGAGGAGCUUGCUCCUCUGACGUUAGCGGCGGACGGGUGAGUAACACGUGGAUAACCUACCUAUAAUACUGGGAUAACUUCGGGAAACCGGAGCUAAUACCGGAUAAUAUAUUGAACCGCAUGGUUCAAUAGUGAAAGACGGUUUUGCUGUCACUUAUAGAUGGAUCCGCGCCGCCUUAGCUAGUUGGUAAGGUAACGGCUUACCAAGGCAACGAUGCGUAGCCGACCUGAGAGGGUGAGCGGCCACACUGGAACUGAGACACGGUCCAGACUCCUACGGGAGGCAGCAGUAGGGAAUCUUCCGCAAUGGGCGAAAGCUUGACGGAGCAACGCCGCGUGAGUGAUGAAGGUCUUCGGAUCGUAAAACUCUGUUAUUAGGGAAGAACAAAUGUGUAAGUAACUAUGCACGUCUUGACGGUACCUAAUCAGAAAGCCACGGCUAACUACGU